This is a long non-coding RNA of Pipistrellus kuhlii (Kuhl's pipistrelle), 437 nucleotides long. RefSeq lists it as uncharacterized. Lineage: Eukaryota; Metazoa; Chordata; Mammalia; Chiroptera; Vespertilionidae. The record is from RefSeq and is a predicted model, not a curated record. The transcript has 2 exons.
AUAAACUGAUUUUCUCAAGUGAAAACAAGUUUCAUCCUUUCUUGCCAUGUUAUUUUUUUUCUUGUCAACAGUACAUAAUGUUGACCACUAGAUGUCAGGAUCCCCUUACCUAUUACAGUGAUUCUUUUAUUUUCAACUCUAACCGCUUAUUUCUUCAUUCUUAAGAAAUACAUACAAAUAGGGCACUCUGCCAUUUACUUACCAGGCAAGUAAAAGAGUAAGAUUGAUUUGUAUGGCUACACCAGAUUCUAUACAUUCACGGAGUCUGCAUCUCUUGGAAGAGUGAGCUGGAAGGCGGUGUGCCCUCGAAUGGGAGCUCAGACACUCAGCCCUCCCCUGAGAACUAUUCCUCCAAAGUAACUCUCUGGCAGGUCAUUUUUAUGAUUAAGCUUCUCAAUAAAGAUGGGGGAGGGGAUCAUAUUUCUAUGUCCUUGGAA